UACGUAGGGGGCGAGCGUUGUCCGGAAUUAUUGGGCGUAAAGAGCUCGUAGGCGGUCCAUUAAGUCGGAAGUGAAAUCUCAGGGCUCAACCCUGAAAUUGCUUUCGAUACUGGCGGACUUGAGGCAAGUAGGGGAGAGCGGAAUUCCUGGUGUAGCGGUGAAAUGCGCAGAUAUCAGGAGGAACACCGGUGGCGAAGGCGGCUCUCUGGGACGGUACUGACGCUGAGACGCGAAAGCGUGGGGAGCGAACAGG
Molecule: ribosomal RNA, 253 nt
Filed under: uncultured bacterium
Lineage: Bacteria
Description: partial 16S ribosomal RNA
Rfam family: Bacterial small subunit ribosomal RNA
Source: RNAcentral